Molecule: long non-coding RNA, 223 nt
Filed under: Eucalyptus grandis
Lineage: Eukaryota; Viridiplantae; Streptophyta; Magnoliopsida; Myrtales; Myrtaceae
Description: long non-coding RNA (EGRA_LNC002902)
Source: RNAcentral
CCUACCAAAUUCUUGCCCAUGUAAUAGCAUGGGCUGUCCAGCAGCAAGUGUAUUUCUAGACAGCAAUGAACUGAAUGAUGUUGAGUUCUGUGUGGGCUGAUAUGAAGAAAGAGUCUGGUGGACAGCCAAAUUUGGAAGUCCUAAACUGGAACCGUUGGGUCUGCUUAUUGUGGUGGCCUGUGGAGUGAUUGAAGAUGCAGAUGAAGAGUGGAGGAAAAUAGCC